GGAAAAAUUGAGACUAAAUAUCCCAUUUACAGUAAUAAUAAAUAAAAUAAAAUGUAAUUAAUUUCGACAAAAUUUUAUUACAAUGCUUUGUAAUGUACCGGAGAGAAAACGAGUAGCACCGAUGGUUUCCCGAUUCUCGAGCACGCAACGUACAACUGAUGUACCCGCACUUCGCUACGGCAGUCUACAGGCAGAACACUUGCGCCGCUCAUUAUACAUGCCCCUCCUUGUGGGUACGCCACUGCCGCACUUCGAAUGGAAAAAAAAUCAAAGCAAUGCUCGUUGCCAUGGAGAUGCAGAAGGCAUAAACAAUGCAAAAUCCCGCUGUCCCACUGUUGGCCGGGCUUAACCACCCUUGGGAGUUGAUUUUCGGAAAACGUCAUCCAGCAUAAAAUGAGGAACAUUAAUGCUAAGUUCAAGUCUGUAGGAUAUAAAAUUGAAAAAAAGGGGCAAUUUUUUGAUAUUUAAAGUCCCCGUAAAAUUUCAACGGUGAUGAGGACUGCACUAACAGUCAAUUAGUUGUUGCCAUAGAGACGAAUGAAGCAUCAACAAAGUAACAGCCGUUGCCAUGGUGAUUUUCUACCAAAAACUGGAAUUUUGAUAUUUUACACCCCCAAAACUCCCUUUGGGAGCUGAUUUUCGGAAAAUCAUAUCUUAGUGAGCGUCUACAUACCUACAUCACAAAAUGAGUAACUAUGCUAAGUUUCAAUCGGUUGAAAGAUUUCAAGUCAAUCGUAAUGAGUCAGUCAGUAGUAUUUCGCACAAAUAUAUUUUUAAAUUUAAAUAAUUUUACAUAAAAUAAUAAUCAAAUCUAUACAGAAAUAUGCCUCGAAUUGAAAAAAAAAAUCGAUCUAAGCGAUGCCCGUUGCCAUGAAGACGCAGAAGGCAUAAACAAUUCAAAAUCCCGUUGUCAUGGAGAUGGAGUACCCACUGUUGCCAGUGCUUAACCACCCUUGGGAGCUGAUUUUCGGAAACGCUGUCAUUAAUCGAAAUAAAAAGUGUCCUAUAUAUAAAGUUGGACAAAGUUACAAAUAUUUGUGCGAAAUUUCAUUAAAAUCAAUGCAGUAGUUUCGGAAACUAGCGCGGAAAAACAUUGUGACACGAGAUUUUUAUAUAUAAAGAUUUAAUUCUGUUUUGCUACACUUGAAUUGUAAAUCCUGAAUUACAACAGCCCGUCGCAUCCGUCCGUCCGUCAGCCGCCAAGCGAUAUACAACUUCACUUCACGUCACUGCUUGGAUUUUGGCCUUGAGCGGUAUCCGUUUAGCCAGAAAUAUCAAUUUCAUUAUUCUUUUUCAUCAUCUUUUAUCGCAAGUGUAUAUUUUGAAUAAGUCUCAAUUUUACUCCCAUACCUUACCCGGGACUCGAACCCAGAACCUCUCCCACCAUAAGCCGGUGUGCAACCGACUACGCUACGGAGGUCGGCUGGCGAUUUACAACACUCCGCUCGUCCGUCAUAAUAUUUCUCCAUGUCAAUGCUGACAACUGUUGAGAAAAAUUAACAAUUUGGUGGGAAAAAAAUUAUAUGUAAUUAUAUUACUUAAACAAUUAUGUAAAGUAAGUACUUGAAACUCAUUAAACUCAGAGGUUUUUUUUUUUCGGUAUGUAUUUUCACAUUUCCAGAGUUACCAUACGUAAUUAUAAUAUUUCCGUGACUUAGACCAUUUUUGUUUCAAAAAAGAGCUUUCGAUAUGUGUCUAAACGUAAGCUAAGAAAUAUUUUUGGAAUCAGCUAAACAAUUAAACAAACUUUAAUACAUUUUAAUAUAUUUUAUCUGCAAACACCUAGAAGACACACUAGGAGGUUAUAGUUUCAUCCGUUCACCCGUCAAUUAUAAAGUUAUCAAGCUUUAGACGGAUGAGUGGAUGACAUUUUUCGGUCCAUCUUAUUGGGUGCAGGUCACGUAAUUGACAGACGGAUGACGGAUGGACGGGCUAUUGUAAUUCCGGCCUUAGUUGCCCACACCCUUACAAUCAAAUUAUACAGCAAUUUAUUAUUCUAUUGUCAUGCCGUCAACUGAUAAGGAAUAAGUUUGUAAAGUGCGUACGUAAAUUCGUUAAGUUAACUAAUUAUUUUUUAUUUUAUAUAUAUAUAUCUUUUCGGGGGUUUUGUAGGUAUUUUAAUAUCGUAAUGUCAACUUACUUAAGUUAAUUGAAAGAAAAAUUACGUACAAAUUACAUAUCAACAAUAGCCCAGGUUAAAAUAUGAAAUUUGAGACUAUUGUAUUUAUUUACUAAAGAAAUAAUUAAUUUUUGGUGUUUAUGCAGUUUUUCUUAAAAAUCUGGAAGAACACCCCCCGAAAAAAAUUCCUGGGUACGCCUAUGAUCUGGCCAUUACAUUAGCACUACAUAUGUACGGUACUUCCUCACCUGCAAAUAAGUUUGAAAAUUACAUGUAAAAAAUAUUUUACCUUCGCAGGCUUGACUAUAAUUUCUUUCAUACUUGUUUAAUUUUACUACCUAUAUAAUUCUGGGGAAAAAAGUUACAAGAACCAACGAGUUUUACUGGAAAAUUUUCUUUUCUACUAAAAAAAAAUUAACAUUAUUUAUUUACUUAUAAACCUUUUCGGAGUAUUUUACUGAUACUGAAGGAACCUUAAGGCGUUUAUAAAGUUCUAUUUUUUCUUAGUAUUGUUGUAAAUGACAAGUUAUUCUCAACUAAGUCAUUUGUAAAGUAAAUUUUUACAUAUUUGAUAGAGUAAAAUUACUUUUAGUCGGUGCUAAAUUGCUCCUCCAUUGUUGCAGUAAAAUGACACUGAACCUAGUGAACAAAAUUACUUCGACAUAUGCUGUAAUAGCUGGAACUAAUGCAAGUGACACAAGCGCCCCUGGCAGCUGAUUUCGGAAAUAAAAAUAUUGCGACUGGAACGAAAGUGAUUAAAGAAUCAGUCGAUAACCACCUGUAAUCACAAUGGCUUCCUAGGGACCUGUCUAUAAUUAUAACUAAUAGGCAUAGUUUAUAUACCUUAUUUAAUCCAUAAUUUACAACUUAUUUUUUAAGCUGUUGGUAAAGGUCUUGCUUUCGCAACACGAGAUGAGUGUCUGCGAUCUUGUUUCGAGCCCGCUCCACUGCACUCGGGAUUAUAAAAUUGAUCUACAAGAAGACACACUUGUGACACCUAGUAACGAACUACGGAACCUUCCGUGAUGUCAUAGUGCAAAGUUGCAUUAAAUUUUUAUUUGAACUAAUAGAAUUACUCAUUGAAACUAAAAUUACACAUACGUUGUAAAUGUCAUUUGUAAUGUUAUAUUGUUAAAUAACCUGUCUGUGAUGUGUGAAUUUUCACAUACUUUGUGAGUGUUAUUUUUAACAAAAUUUUGUCUUUACGGAGACCUGUGUGGGUUAAAUACAUGUACACAUGUUGGGUAAAAAAUUAAAAUACAUUAGUGGACUGUGUAUUUGGAAAACCAUAUCUAUUCGAGGACCAAUUGAAGAAGUGCCAUUUCAAGACAGUGAAUACUCCCAUUUACAAUUCCGACGAAGUGAAGCAGUCUGUAAACACAGUAUCGAGAAACUCGGUCGAGAAAAAAAACUAUUUGAGGAAAUGAUCUGGCUGGUCUUGGCUUUCAGUAAACUGAUUGGAGCUGAGAAUUAGUCAUUUCAAACCAACGCAGAACCAAAUGUUUUGCUAACUUUCUCUAGUGUUCAUAGUACAGGGGAAUUAAAAUUAAUAAUACUUGUAAAUAAAAGUUUUAUUUUAUUUUGUGCACCUGAAACCUGGACUUUUUUUGUUUAAAAUAAAAUUGAAGUGCUUUUAUUUCAAUACAUUAUAAAUAAUGGUUUUUGAGCAUGAACAACCUUUUAUGGCUCCGUCGAAGAUCGAAUCAAGGUCACGAACUGACCGAAUCAAUCAUAUUACCAUGUAAAAUUUUCAAUAAUUUUUAGAAUUUUUGUUUCAAUUUUCUAAGUUAAAAUUAUGAAAUAUUUUCAGUAUGGCGUCCAACAUGGCCGACAAGAUUGCGGAUGCCACGACUGUCUGGUAAUAAAUACUAUUGCUUUCUAGGGAAUAAAAUUAAACCAAUAUGGCAGCAGGAACUUUUGCAGAUAAAAAAACAAUUAUGGCAUACAAUUUGGCCGUCAUGACGCUAUACUGUAUAGCCUAAUAUCUGUCAUGACGAAAGUGGUGGAGGGCCAGUCUUCUAGUAGUACCCAUGGAGAAAGGACCCGUCACCAUUUUUAAUCGAAUGAUCUCGUCGGGUUGUAACCCAGGUCUACAAGCUCUGUGAUAUAAGUGCGUUUUUAAAAUUAAAAUUUGAUUAAAUUUUAUAAAUUUUUUCUGAGUUUUUUUUGGAUAAUUACGAAAUUUAAAGUUGGCAGACGUCACAUAAUUCAAAAUGGCAGAAUCCAACAUGUCGACAAUUUCCAGAAAGCGAAAUGCUGGAAACUUCUUGAAAUCAAUAUGGGCGAAUCUAAAAUUGGAGAAUCCAAAUGGCAGAAUUUAAGAUGGCUGCCGAAGUCAAUGUAUAGGUUCAAGGUCAAGCUCAAGAGUCUUCAGCAGCUUACUGGAGUCUGAUAAAUUAAAAUAUUUAGUUCUUUUAAACCCAAAAAAAUUUUUGAGGCUUUUUUUUAAUUUAAUGGGAAAUUUUCCCUUGAAAAUGGGAAAUCUUUUAAUUUUCAUAUUUUUUGUUUUGCGAUUUUUUAUGGAAAAUAUUUCCCAAAAAAGGAAAUUUUUUGUCAUUUUGGUAAAUUUUUCGUUAAAAUUUAAGGCCAAGAUCAAAGGUCACUGUCAAGGUCAUCCAAGAUGGCCGCCGUGACAUCACAGUCUGAUAUGGCGGAUUGGCUCCAGCUCCAAACUCCGACUCCAGCAGGCGGACAUACGAAGUAUACCUACUACUAACAAAUAUAUUUUCAAUUUUUACGGAAUAAACGAAAAUAUAUUAUAGUUUUGAAAUAUCCUUUUGUUUGAUUUUCUUUUCAGUAAAAGAUAUUAAUUUGUUUUAGUAUGUAUAAUAAUAUUGUUAACUCACCUAUUUAUUAUGACAUUUUGUUUACUAAUCAUAAUGAAAGUGUUAUUUAUUUUUUAUAAUAUGAAAUUCUUAAGGCAAUCUGAAAUAUUAUAACUGAGCAGUCAAAAAAGUAUCAAAAGAAUUAAUGAGGAAUAGUACAUUUUUUUUAAACUUGUAAUAUACUUUAUAAAUAUAUUAAAGAUAAGUGGAGAUAGAUUACCGCCUUGCGGAACACCUAAUGUAACAGAAAAGCUUAAAGAUAAUACAUUAGCGACUCUGAUUGAAAAGUAUUUAUUUAUGAGAUAAUUAGAGAACCAGGCUACGGACUGCUUGUUGAAACCUCAACUGCAUAAUUGUAUAAUAUUAAUUACAAAAAUCACGUCACUAAACUAUAUCUUGCAAGGCAAGCUUAACACUUAAUAGUCUAGGUACCGUAAAAUAUUUUGACGUCUUAACUUGUUUGAACAACAGUGAAAUAUACUUAAUUUCGAAACAAAAUAUAUAUAUAUAUAUUUGAACUCGUAAAACUAUUCCCAUGGGGUACAACUUCAUGAUGUAACCCACUCCGUCACUUCUAUCUUACGUGAGGCGAGAAAACAUUAUAUUGAGUCGUAUACCUAUACUAUAAUAAUGGGGAGGUAAACUAAAAUAAUGUAAAUGUAUUUAAAUUUACUUAAAAAUUAAGUAGCGCCUGAACAGUAGAUGCUUGAAUAUGCAGCUUAUAUGUAACUGUUGCUACCACGCUUUCAAGCCGCCAUGUUUGAAAGCGAGUUGCCGAUCGUGAAGUCAGGUUCCUACAGCCUAGAAGCAGUCCGGCUCUCCCGAUCGGCGGCCAGCGAGAAUCGAUAUGCCACACGUAACUUAGAACACCAUACACUUCAAUCGUCUGAUAAUCGUCAUUUUACGAUCGGGAACUCUUUUCUGAGUAACUUAGAUUAGACCCCUAAAUCCACUACCUGAAAUUUUCCUUAAAAAUUAUAAUAAAAGUUCCAAAAUGCUUUUUUAUCAUCCUGACAUGUUUUACAAUCAUCGUCUAGGGUGUUGUGAUACUUCAAGUAUGUUUACCAGUAAUUGACUAUUUUAAAGAGUAGUUAUGUGAGGUUAAGGCAUAUUAAAAAUAGUGCAAGAUCGUGUUAUUUUGUUUGUUGGUUAGUUAAGCGACAUUUAAAAUUGUGUGAACGUUUGGUUAGGUUACCUAUGUGUACUUUUUAAUUGAGUGAACGGUUGGUUAGCUAAAUAAAAAAAUACUCUAAAAUAGCAAGGACUGUUGGUUAGGAUAAGUUAGCUAAAUUUUAUAUUGGUAAUUCCUAACCAAUAGUUCAAACGAUUUCACAGUAACUUUUUUUUUAAUGUAGCUAAUCCAACCUAACAUACCCUCCUCACAAUAUCAGAGUAUUUGUAAUAUAUAACCUAACCACUAUUUUUAAUGGUAAAGUACUUGAAGUAUCACAACGCCCUUUUAGAAAAUGAUUGUAAAACAUGUCAGAAAGUAAAUAUACAUAUUUUUUAUUUUAAAUUAUUUUGGUUAAAAAAAAUGGAUCUCCUUCAGAGUUACCUAAACUUUGAUCAACUUAGUGCCAAGCGACAAACACCUUCCAUUACACCCUUCCAAAUAGUUAAAAAGUCUGCAAUACUCGUUAGUUGUGGCAGCACGGAUCUGAUUGUCUUAUUUUGAAGGAGACGUCUUACAUGCCAGGUAUCAAACGACUCAGCAGUCUUCUUUACGUCAUAUGUCUCUUUAAUCUUUAUUAGGGCCGGUUUCACCAAGCGAAAUUAUCUCGAUAAAGUAAUGAAUUAUCCAGAUUAACUGAAUAUCCCGUUUCACCACACCGAAUAUCUCGAUCUUUUAGUGUUAUCGAGAUAAAAUAUUCUAACCACCGAUUUUCGUGGUUAAAGUCUUAUUAUCGAGAUAAUAUUGUAAAACGAAGUGACGAGAGGAGAUUUUAAAAAUUGUAAUGGCUCGAGGCAUGUACAAUUUGAUUUUUGAAGAUGAAAGUGAUGAAGAAGAUGCCAUUGUUCGUCGGCCACGAUGGAUGCGAGAUAGAAGCGAUUAUUUUGAAAUGUAUGAUGAAGAAGACUUUAAAAUACAUUUUCGCCUUUCAAAACAGUCGACUAUGUUUGUUUUGGAACUUAUAGAAAAUCAACUACAGUUUCCCGAAAAGAAUAUGUCAGUGUCGCCAAUGAACCAACUGCUGGCUACACUUCGAUUUUAUGCUACAGGCUGUAACCAGCUAACCAUUGGGGAUUAUGCUGGCUUUAGUAAACCCACAGCUCACCGAAUAAUACAUAGGGUUAGCUCCGCAAUUGCAUCUCUUCGACCACAGUUCAUUAAAUUCCCAGAGACGAUGGAAGAACUGAAUUUAGCACAAAGGGAUUUCUAUGCAAUUGCUAAAUUUCCCAGGGCUAUUGGUGCUAUGGAUUGCACUCAUGUAAAAAUCCAGUCACCAGGUUGGUUUAAACACUGAUUUUAUGCUACCUUUUUAUUAAACAUUGCAAUCCACAUACAAGCUUGUUUUAUGUUUGUUGCAGGUGGAAACAAUGCAGAAUUCUACCGUAACAGAAAAGGUUACUUCUCUGUGAAUGUGCAAGUAAUUUGUAAUACAAAAUUGGAAAUUACAGAUAUUGUUGCACGAUGGCCUGGUUCCUCACAUGAUAGUACCAUAUUCAACAAUAGCAACAGAAGGGCAUGUUUUGAGAGAGGGGAGUAUGGUGAUUCUGUACUACUUGUUGAUGCGGGCUAUGCUUGUAGGUCAUAUCUAAUGCCUCCAUUAGAUAAUCCCAGAAGUCCACAGGAACACCUAUUUAAUGAGUCGCAAAUUAGGUCAAGAAAUCCUGUAGAGCGAACAUUCGGUUGCUGGAAGCGACGUUUCCCAGUCUUAUCUUUAGGAUUGAGAGUGUCAUUAGAACAUUCGUUUGCCAUCAUUGUAGCGACUGGGGUGCUGCAUAAUAUCCUGCGACAAACUGGGGAAGAACUCCCUCCAGACGACCCUAACCUCAAUCUCCACCUCCCUUGGCAACAGUUGCUUGAGGAAGGAAAUGUACAGCAGAACAACGAAAAUGCAAACAGAAGGCCCAGAUAUGACAGUGUCAGGCAUUUACUGAUUGAAAACUAUUUCAGGAGGUAAAUGAAAUUUACAUAUACCUAUAAUUAAAUACCUAUAUAUGUGUGUGUGUUGUAAUACUUAUUUAAGAUACGAUUAUUUAUCACUCUGUGUAUUUUCAGUUUGUUGUAGGUCAUACUGAUCUAUAUGUCACACAGAGAUGCCAUCAACUUGAAGAUUUGCUGGUGAAAAUAACUACAUAUAGCAAGAUGUAUGGAAUAUUUUAAUACAUUUGCAUUGUACAACUGCUUAGAUCAUACAAAAUAAUGUGACAUAAGCGAACAUGUAUUAUCUUUUAUAUAAUUCUUAACAUUUGUACUUGAAACUGUUUGUUAAUAGGCACAAUGAAUAUCACUUUGUAAAUAUACAUGUAAUAUAUAACAAUUAUGUCAUGAUAGUUGAGCAAAUGUUUAAUACAUAAGAACAAUUAAAUUACUGC
Bacillus rossius redtenbacheri is the source of this 8484-nucleotide long non-coding RNA. RefSeq lists it as uncharacterized. The transcript has 2 exons. The record is from RefSeq and is a predicted model, not a curated record. NCBI's taxonomy places the organism in Eukaryota, Metazoa, Arthropoda, Insecta, Phasmatodea, Bacillidae.